CGAUGUCUACUAGUUGUCGGGUCUUAAUUGACUUGGUAACGCAGCUAACGCGUGAAGUAGACCGCCUGGGGAGUACGGUCGCAAGAUUAAAACUCAAAGGAAUUGACGGGGACCCGCACAAGCGGUGGAUGAUGUGGAUUAAUUCGAUGCAACGCGAAAAACCUUACCUACCCUUGACAUGUACAGAACGCCGAAGAGAUUUGGUGGUGCUCGCAAGAGAACUGUAACACAGGUGCUGCAUGGCUGUCGUCAGCUCGUGUCGUGAGAUGUUGGGUUAAGUCCCGCAACGAGCGCAACCCUUGUCAUUAGUUGCUACGAAAGGGCACUCUAAUGAGACUGCCGGUGACAAACCGGAGGAAGGUGGGGAUGACGUCAAGUCCUCAUGGCCCUUAUGGGUAGGGCUUCACACGUCAUACAAUGGUACAUACAGAGGGCCGCCAACCCGCGAGGGGGAGCUAAUCCCAGAAAGUGUAUCGUAGUCCGGAUUGUAGUCUGCAACUCGACUACAUGAAGUUGGAAUCGCUAGUAAUCGCGGAUCAGCAUGUCGCGGUGAAUACGUUCCCGGGUCUUGUACACACCGCCCGUCACACCAUGGGAGCGGGUUCUGCCAGAAGUAGGUAGCUUAACCGUAAGGAGGGCGCUUACCACGGCAGGGUUCGUGACUGGGGUGAAGUCGUAACAAGGUAGCCGUAUCGGAAGGUGCGGCUGGAUCACCUCCUUUCUG
RNAcentral lists this ribosomal RNA (724 nucleotides) under uncultured bacterium. Its description in RNAcentral is "bacterial SSU rRNA". It matches the Rfam family "Bacterial small subunit ribosomal RNA", at positions 807 to 1533 of the family's 1533-position model. The record is from RNAcentral.